Molecule: ribosomal RNA, 450 nt
Filed under: uncultured beta proteobacterium
Lineage: Bacteria; Pseudomonadati; Pseudomonadota; Betaproteobacteria
Description: partial 16S ribosomal RNA
Rfam family: Bacterial small subunit ribosomal RNA
Source: RNAcentral
AGGAYGAAGCCUUCGGGUUGUAAACYKCUUUUGUACGGRACGAAACGGUCKKCUUUAAUACAGAGGGCUAAUGACGGUACCGUAAGAAUAAGCACCGGCUAACUACGUGCCAGCAGCCGCGGUAAUACGUAGGGUGCGARCGUUAAUCGGAAUUACUGGGCGUAAAGCGUGCGCARGCGGUUAUAUAAGYCAGAUGUGAAAUCCCCGGGCUCAACCUKKGAACUGCAUUUGAGACUGUAUARCUASAGUACGGUARAGGGGGAUGGAAUUCCGCGUGUAGCARUGAAAUGCGUAGAUAUGCGGAGGAACACCGAUGGCGAAGGCAAUCCCCUGGACCUGUACUGACGCUCAUGCACGAAARCSUGGGGAGCACACASGGUUAGAUACCCUKGGUAGUCCACGCCCUAAACGAUGUCAACUGGGUGKUGGGUCCUCACUGACUCAGUCACG